GUUUGAUCAUGGCUCAGAACGAACGCUGGCGGCAGGCCUAACACAUGCAAGUCGAGCGAUCCUUUCGGGGAUAGCGGCGGACGGGUGAGUAACGCGUGGGAACGUACCCUUUGCUACGGAAUAGCCCCGGGAAACUGGGAGUAAUACCGUAUGUGCCCUCUGGGGGAAAGAUUUAUCGGCAAAGGAUCGGCCCGCGUUGGAUUAGGUAGUUGGUGGGGUAAUGGCCUACCAAGCCGACGAUCCAUAGCUGGUUUGAGAGGAUGAUCAGCCACACUGGGACUGAGACACGGCCCAGACUCCUACGGGAGGCAGCAGUGGGGAAUCUUAGACAAUGGGGGCAACCCUGAUCUAGCCAUGCCGCGUGAGUGAUGAAGGCCCCUAGGGUUGUAAAGCUCUUUCAGCUGGGAAGAUAAUGACGGUACCAGCAGAAGAAGCCCCGGCUAACUCCGUG
RNAcentral lists this ribosomal RNA (451 nucleotides) under uncultured bacterium. RNAcentral describes it as "bacterial SSU rRNA". It matches the Rfam family "Bacterial small subunit ribosomal RNA", at positions 11 to 507 of the family's 1533-position model. The record is from RNAcentral.